CCGAUAUUAUGGAUGGCCUUAUUGAUACUAUGCAAAUUAUCUCAGAGGAUAGAUGACUUCAGACUGUACCAUCGAUGAAUGAUUCGAGUAUCUCUUCGUAUGCCCAGCACACCUCAUACCCUAGCUUUUCGGACUUCGAUCUCCCUAUAGAUGCAUCUCUAUCAUAGAAAGUGAGCGAGCCUCCACCUCCCUUGUCUCUAUCACAUAGAGUGAGCGAGCCUCCACCUCCUUCCCCA
This 236-nucleotide long non-coding RNA is filed under the name Elaeis guineensis (African oil palm). RNAcentral's name for it is "long non-coding RNA (EGUI_LNC075060)". The record is from RNAcentral. Lineage: Eukaryota; Viridiplantae; Streptophyta; Magnoliopsida; Arecales; Arecaceae.